UUGCUUUGGCAGUACAUAUAUACUAAAAUUGGAAUGAAACAGAGAAGAUUAACAUGGCUCCUGUGCAACGAUGACACGCAAAUUCAUGAAGCAUUUCCAUAUUUU
This is a non-coding RNA of Chelonia mydas (Green sea turtle), 105 nucleotides long. Lineage: Eukaryota; Metazoa; Chordata; Testudines; Cheloniidae. The record is from Rfam.